RNAcentral lists this ribosomal RNA (1445 nucleotides) under Chaetoceros neogracilis. RNAcentral describes it as "partial Bacterial large subunit ribosomal RNA". It matches the Rfam family "Bacterial large subunit ribosomal RNA", at positions 454 to 1962 of the family's 2925-position model. The record is from RNAcentral. Lineage: Eukaryota; Bacillariophyta; Thalassiosirophyceae; Chaetocerotales; Chaetocerotaceae.
CACCUUCGAAGGCUAAGUACUCCUGACUGACCGAUAGUGAACCAGUACCGUGAGGGAAAGGUGAAAAGCACCCCGACGAGGGGAGUGAAACAGUACCUGAAACCGAACGCCUACAAUCAGUUGGAGCAUCCUUGCGAUGUGACAGCGUACCUUUUGUAUAAUGGGUCAUCGACUUGGUCUAUCUAGCAAGCUUAAGCCGUUAGGUGUAGGCGCAGCGAAAGCGAGUCUUAAUAGGGCGCAUGAGUUAGAUGGAUCAGACCCGAAACCGAGUGAUCUAGGCAUGGCCAGGUUGAAGAUACGGUAACACGUAUUGGAGGACCGAACCCACAUCCGUUGAAAAGGAUCGGGAUGAGCUGUGCCUAGGGGUGAAAGGCCAAUCAAACUCGGAGAUAGCUGGUUCUCCGCGAAAUCUAUUUAGGUAGAGCGUCAUCCGAAUACCCCGGGGGGUAGAGCACUGGAUGGGUAAUGGGGCCCCACAGGCUUACUGAUCCUAACCAAACUCCGAAUACCCGGGAGUACUAGAUGGCAGACACACGGCGGAUGCUAACGUCCGUCGUGGAGAGGGAAACAACCCUGACCGACAGUUAAGGCCCCCAAUUCAUGGCUAAGUGGGAAAGCAGGUGGGACGACCAAAACAACCAGGAGGUUGGCUUAGAAGCAGCCAUCCUUUAAAGAUAGCGUAACAGCUCACUGGUCUAAAUAAGUUGUCCUGCGGCGAAGAUGUAACGGGGCUCAAGCCAUGAGCCGAAACUUCGGAUGCAUUUAAUGCAUGGUAGCGGAGCGUAGUGUGACAUAGUUUCCUGUCUCUUUUGAUCCCUUUGGGGUCAUGGGAGACGCGAAGCUUUCUGUGAAGCCGGGCUGUAAGGCAUCCGGUGGAGAGAUCACUAGUGAGAAUGAUGACAUGAGUAGCGACAAAGAGUGUGAGAGACACUCUCGCCGAAAGUCCAAGGGUUCCUGCUUAAAGCUAAUCUGAGCAGGGUAAGCCGACCCCUAAGUCGAGGCCGAAGGGCGUAGACGAUGGGAACCAGGUUAAUAUUCCUGGGCCAGGAGAUGGUGACGGAUUGUGAAGGUUGUUCCUCCUUAUUGGAUUGGAGGGGCCGCUGAUCAGUCCCUGGAAAUAGCCCUCCAUAAGAUCGUACCCUAAACCGACACAGGUGGACUGGUAGAGAAUACCAAGGCGCUUGAGAGAACUACAUUGAAGGAACUCGGCAAAAUACCUCCGUAAGUUCGCGAGAAGGAGGCCCAGUUUCUACGCAAGUAUUGGCUGGGGGCACAAACCAGGGGGUGGCGACUGUUUACUAAAAACACAGGGCUCUGCGAAGUCGCAAGACGACGUAUAGGGUCUGACGCCUGCCCGGUGCCUGAAGGUUAAAAGGAGGGGUGAGAGCUCCGAAUUGAAGCCCAGGUAAACGGCGGCCGUAACUAUAACGGUCCUAAGGUAGCGA